RNAcentral lists this unclassified non-coding RNA (290 nucleotides) under Diabrotica virgifera virgifera (western corn rootworm). RNAcentral describes it as "zinc finger protein basonuclin-2-like". The record is from RNAcentral. Lineage: Eukaryota; Metazoa; Arthropoda; Insecta; Coleoptera; Chrysomelidae.
AGUUAGUUGCGACGUAUGACAUCCUCGGCGUAUAUUUUGUGACUCUCGGGUGAAUUAGGUCUUUCAUCUCGAUAUUUGCCGCCUCUCUUGUUUUAGUGUUGUGAAGUUUUAGUGUUGCAUGGAUUUGGGUGUACCGGUGCCUAAUUUGCAACUGGACUUAUCCUGUGGCAGACACACGGCACCACUCUGGACCGAUGGCGCUUCCGUACUCUUGAGGAGGAACAUCCGAUCCUCCAACAGUUUUUUAGUAUUGAAGAUACAAGAGCCAUAACGCAACACUUGCUCUUGGC